AGGGCUGAACUGAAAGUACAUCUAACACAUGGGUGUGCCCUAGUGUGCGUAAUACUAGGUCAACGAGGCUCUCGCAGUCCAUAUAUAUUCUCUGAUGUUUCCUCAUAUUUAAGUUCAGGUUUUGCAUUUUCGGCAAACAUACCGAGAAGGGAGGUUGUGGCCGUCUCAGUGCAUCACAUCAGAAGGGAUUCGAUGUUGGUUUGUUCCAUUACUGAAAACGAUAAGGAUGAUCACUUGAUGAAGGUGAUGUCUAUCAGGUUUCUCGACUGCAAAGAUGCUAUAUUUCUUUGGAUGUAAUAAACACUUUAUGGAAAAAUAAUUGAAGACUCUCUAAGUAUAUGGUUAUGUAUCCAUCUUUACCACUAAUUGUAGCAUCUGUUGAUGAUUCUUCCCUGAAACAGUUAUUACUAUUGUGUGUGCCAAAUGCUAGUGGGAAGUUUCCUUACUAGUAAGGAAAAGUUUACUCUAUUUAUUCACCCAUUCAUCUGUUUAUUCAUCAUGUAUAUUAUUAUGGGCAAAUGAACUGACUUUAUUCUGUGGGUUAUGAUCUGUCACCAUCAUUUUGUUGUCGAGUUUUCCCAGAUUUGGCCUCUGGAAAGUCUCCUUCAAGUGGGCUCCUUUAUCUUUUUAGAAAGUACCUUCUCUCUCUAUCUCUCCCUCCCUCUCUCUCUCUCAAAGCACUUUGAUAUUUCCUGGCACCACAAGGUAUUUUAGCCUUAUCUUAUACUUUCCUGUCCCAGUCCUGUAAUCAGCUGUUUCUCCAAGGUCUUGUACUUUUGUUGGAGCAUGGUGUUUAGAAACCAAGAUUUAGGCAGUAGAUGGGCUCAUUAGUAUGGGGGUAUCACCAUACGUGACCAACCCUCUUGAAAACUGUCCAGGUUGUGGAAAACAAAGAAAGACAGAGGACCUCUUCCAAAUUAAAGGAGACUAAGGAAAUUUGACAACUAAAUGCAAAGUGUGAUUUUGGAUUGGAGCCUGAACCAAAAAGAACAUUAGUGGGGCAAUUGGAGGAAUUUGAGUAAAUUCUUUAGAUUAAAUGAUAUGUAUAUUGUAUUAUAGUCUUAUCCAUAUUUAUCUUCAUGGAACACAGUUGAAAAUAACAUGACCAUUCACAUUACUGUUGAUUUAAAAAAAUAAUUCAGAUCUAUGCAAUUGAAGAAACUGAUCUAAAUUAGGGGCAGGAUAAUUCAGAAAAGAAAUAAAAUGGUACUUGGCAUUCUAACUAUACCAUUUAGGGUUUUUGCAAGAAAUUAUCAUGUAUGCCCCAAAUUAUCUAAUUAAUCUCCUUUUGAUGAACAUUUACGUUGUUUCAAAUUUCCCCUGCUGAUGUAUAAGGCUCUGUUAACAUAUUUUUACAUACAUUUUCAAACAUUUGAAAGUCUCCUUGGGAUACAUUUCUUGAAGGUUGGUUAAAUAAUUUAUAGUACAGCCAUAAACUGUUACAUGCAGAAUGACAAUGUUCAGUGAAAAAGACACAGUUUUAUUUUAUAUGUUAAUACAUAUACAUCCAUAUAAUUUUUUUUCAUUUUUUAAAAAUUGAAGUACAAUUGAUUUACAAUAUUAUAUUCAUUUUAGGUGUAUAGCACGGUGAUUCAGUAAUUUUACAGAUUACACUCCGUUUUAUGUUAUUAUAAAAUAAUGACUAUAAUUCCCUGUGCUGUGCAAUAUAACCUUGUUGCUUAUCUGUUUCAUACAUAGUCAUUUGCAUCUUUUAAUCUCAUACUCCAAUCUUGCCCUCCCCCUUCUCUCACCUCACUGGUAUCCACUAGUUUGUUUUCUUUUUCUUUUUUUUUUUUUUUUUUCUUUUUUCUAUUUCUUUGGGCUGCUCCCACGGCAUAUGGAAGUUCCCAGGCUAGGGGUCGAGUCGGAGCUGUAGCCACUGGCCUACGCCAGAGCCACAGCAACGCGGGAUCCGAGCAGCGUCUGCAACCUACACCACAGCUCAUGGCAACACUGGAUCCUUAACCCACUGAGCAAGGGCAGGGACCGAACCCGCAACCUCAUGGUUCCUAGUCGGAUUCGUUAACCACUGUGCCACGACGGGAACUCCUAGUUUGUUUUCUAUAUAUGUAAGCAUGUUUCUGUUUUGCCACAUGCAUUCCUUUGUUUUAUUUUUUAGAUUUCACGUAUAAAUUAUAGCAAAGAGUAUUUCUCUUUCUCUGUCUUACUUAUUUCCCUGAGCAUAGUACUCUGCAGGUCCAUCCACCUUCUUGCAAAUGGUAUAAUCUCAUUCCUUUUUAUGGGAGAGUAAUAUUCCAUUAUAUCUAUCUCUCUAUUGAUCUAUCUAUCUGUAUCUAUAUCUUUAUCCAUUUACAUUUAUUGAUGGACAUUUGGGUUGCUUAUAUAUCUUGGCUAUUGUAAUAGUUCUACUGUGAACAUUGGGGUGCAUACAUCUUUUUUAAUUAGUGCUUUCAUUUUCUUUGGAAAUAUACCCAUGGAGGAAAUUGCUGAAUCAUAUUGUAGUUCUCUUUUCAGUUUUUUGAGGAAUUCCAUACUAUUUGCACGGUAGCUACACCAAUUUACAUUCCCAUCAAAAGUGUUCAAGGGUUGCCUUUUCUCCACAUCCUCUCCAAUAUUUGUUUUUAUAGAUUUUUUGAUGCUAGCCAUUCUAGUAAGUAUGAGGUGAUGUCUCAUUGUUAUUUUGAUUUGUGUUUCUCUAACACAGUAGUGAACAUCUUUUCAAGUGCCUGUUAGCCAUCUGUAUGUCUUAUUUGGAAAAAUGUCUAUUCAUGUCUUCUGCCCAUUUUUAAUUGGGUUGUUUGUUAUUUUGUGAUACUAAAUUGUAUAAGCUGUUUAUAUAUUUUGGAUAUUAACCCCCUGAUGGUCAUAUCAUUUAUAAAUAUUUUCUCCCAUUCAUUAGGUUGUCUUUUUGUUUUGUCUGUGGUUUCCUUUGCUGUUCAAAACCUUUUAAGUUCAAUUAGGUCUCAUUUAUUUUAUUUUUAUUUAUGUUUCAUUUUGAUAUUUAAUUUUAACAUUUAAAACAUUUUUAUGUUUUAUUUUAUUUUUACUUUGCUUUCGUCUUAGGUGACAGAUUGAAAAAUAUUGCUAUUAUUUAUGUCAAAGAGUGUUCUACCUAUGUUCUCUUCUUGGAGUUGUAUGGUUUCAGGUCUUACAUUUAGAAACCAUUUGGGGUUUCUUUUUGUACAUGAUGUGAGGAAAUAUCUAAUCUCAUUCCUUCACAUGGAGCUGUCUGUCCCAUCUUCCCAGCACUCCUUAUUGAAGAGAUGGUCUUUUCUACAUGUAUAUUCUUGUUUCUUUUGUAGAUUAGUUGGCCAUAGGUGUAUUGAUUGGUUCCUGGGUUUUCUGUUCUGUUCUACUGGUCUAUGUGUCUAUUUUUUUGUGCAGUACCAUGCUGUUUUGAUUAUUGUCCCUUUGUGGUAUAGUAGAAAGUCAGAGAGCAUGAUACCUAUAGCUCUUUAUAUUUCUCAAGAUUGUUUGGCAAUUCAAGGUCUUUUGUGGUUCUGUGUAAAUUUUAGGAUUGUUUGUUCUAGCUCUGUGAAAAAUAUGGUAGGGUUUUGAUAAGGAGUGCUUUAAAUCUGUAGAUUGCUUUGGGUAGUAUAGACAUUUUAACAAUAGUAAUUCUUCCAAUCCAAGAUAUGGAUUGGGAUAUUUUCCAUUUCUUUGUAUCAACUUCAAUUUCUUUCAUCAAUGUUUUAUAGUUUUCAGAAUAUAGGUCUUUCACUUCCUUGGUUAAAUUUGUUCCUAGUUAUUUUAUUCUUUUCGGUGGGAUUUUUUUUCUUUACUAUUUUCCUCCUCCCCAAUUCUAUGUGUAUCUUUCCUACAGGAGAUCAUGCACAGGAGUUUUCUGCCAGUUUCAAGCUAGUUUUCAGUGAGCAUUAUAACGCAUGUAGAUGUAUUUUUAAUAUAUGCAUUGGAGGACAUGAGGUUAUAUAUUUUGAAAAAGCAGUAGAGUUCCCUGGUGGCCUAGUGGUUAAAGUAUCUAGUGUAGUCUCUGCUAUAGCAUGGGUUCAGUCCUUGGCCAGGGAACUUCCGCAUGCUGUAGGAAUGGCCAAAAAGAAAAAACAGCAACAACAACAACAACAAACAAAACAAGAGUAAGACAACUAACAUAAAUAAUAUAACAUACUAAAAAAAUUAAAUCCCAAAGUCUGGGCUCCAUCACUAGGUUACUGGAUCAGAAUUUAUGGGCAGUAGAGCCCUAGAAAUUUCUGUUCUUAAUACCACCAGCAGAUGAUUUUCAUGUACUUUAAUGUUUGAGAACUACAGUCCUAGGCCCAUAUCAAGACAUGCCUCUCCAAGGUGAUAUGAAAACAUCCAAAGGCUUUGUGGUCUAGUUCCUGUUCACUUUGCUAGUCUCAUUUCCUAACCAAAACUUUACAUUCUACUAAUGUAAAUUCCUGCAUCUUCCUGCUUAUACCUUGCUAUUUAUCAUUCUCUAUCACUGAAAUACCUACCUCUCCACCUUGCUUCGUCUCGCCUACUCUUAAGUAUACUUUAAGUCCUCACCCAAGUACCUCCACUGCAGGUCUUCUGAGCAUCUCCAGUAUGGAGGGCUUGUCUCCCCAGUGCACCAUUACUGAGCUAUGUCAGCACACCUGGUACAUAGUUAAUAGUUGAUAACAUUUUGGCAAAUUGAGUAAAUAGUAUGCUUCUAUGGAGCUUCUUAGAAUACAUGGAUUCUAUCCUCUAUCUUUUGUUGUGUGACAAAUCACCACAAAACAGUGGCUUACAAUAACCAUUGCUUAUUUAGUUCAUAAUUCUGCAGGGCAACAGUUUGGUCUAUGAUUAGUUGAAUAGUUCUUCUCUUGAUACAGCUGGAGUUACUUCUGUGUCUGUGGUCAGCUGCUGGUCACCUAAGUGGCUCUGCUUCUAGGACUGGCUUUUUGUUGGCUGGAGCAAGGGCAAUUGCUGUGCAAUGAUUCCUUUGGCUGUAAAGUCUAGACCAGGCAGGCUCCGGCUUGUUCAAGUGGAGGUGGCAAGUUCUGAGAGAGAGAGAUAGAGAGGGAAAAGGAUGUGGGGGGAAACUACACGUUCUUUUGAGGUUUAUUUUUAGAACUGGGAGAAUAUAGUUUCUGCUACUUCCUAUUAGCCAAAGCAAGUUACAACACCAGUUUAUAUUUGAAGGUGAGCAAAUAGACUCCGUUUAUUUUUGGAGGCACUACAAAGUAUUGUGACCAUUUUUGCAGUCUAUUUCACUGGUCUGUAUAUAUGAAUUGAUAAUUAUUAUUUACAAUGUAACUAUAAACUGGAUUAUAAUUUCCUAUCAUAAAUACCUUUAUUUCUCUUAUCCUCAAACCAUCCAACUGUUGCUGUUUCUUUUCCAGCUCUGUCAUCUAAUUCCUCUUCAAUUAACCUAUUCUGGAGUACAGUUUGCAUUUAUUCAUGAACAGUAUAAAUAAGCAUGUACCAUUUGUUAAUUACUUGGAUUUGGUUUAAGUCUUAAAAUGAAGCCAACUUUUCCAGGCAUAGCAAACUACAGACCUAAGUAUGAAGACAGACACGAUGCCAAUAAGAAAACAUAUCAUUCUUGACUCCUUGAAUUUUAGCUUUCAUUUUCAGCUUUACUGCCUUAAAAAAUCGACAAUAUCCAGCUUUCGUUAUGCCACAUCAGUUGACCUAUUUUCUGGUUUGAAAGUGAUAUUCAUCUUUCUGCCUACUGGAGGGCCUCUUCACUGCUACAAAGAGAUUUCUUUAAAGGGUAAAGCCAUCUAAGGUCAAGUCCGUUGGCCUCUGCCCUGCUAAGGUGAGUUAUGCUUUGAAUUAGGGCUCAGGCUUUGAACCCUUGCAUUCAUCAUUAGAGUCUGCACCUUCCUCUCCUUAUUGCCACGGUCAGUCUGGGAACUUAACUUCAUUGGCAUUUUAUUCUCUCAGCAGACCUUGGAAGGAAAGGUAGCAAUGUCGAACAUUGCCAAAUAACAUAAGAGCCUGGCAUGGAAAUUAUUAAGCAGGCUUUUGAGUUUUCUACCAUAGGGACUUUUUCUUUUUUUUUCUUUUUUGACCUUAUUACUUUUCUGAUUUUCCUCCUCAUGGAUUCUGAAUUUAACUCUUCACAACCCUUAAUUUUUUUUUCUUUAACACAAAGGUGGAGCUGGACCAUUCUGUUUCCAAAGAGGGACAGAAUUUCUUUCUUAUAUUCAAGGGCAUCUUAGUCACCAGUGGUCCCUGCUCCUGGGCUCAUUGAAGCUUAGCAUCCAAGCCUGUCAUCCACUGAGGGGAAAACAUCCAAGAAUUUGCUUUGUGACCUGGGAUCUAUGGGAUGUAAGUGUGUGUUACAAAACUUAAUGCAUAAAGCUGCUACUUUUGAUACAGUCUUGCUCAUGGAGAGAUGGGAUUUAGCUGCUUGUAAUGAGAAUUUGAUGUGACUGGAAAUUGAACAGAAGCAUCUUUUUAUUGAAGGUGCUGAGCCUUAUAACAAUCAUUCAGUGGCAAACGUUAUUAUUUUUCACAUUACUUUUCGACUAUAAAACCUUUCAGGGCCUCAUAAGAAAAUCCCUUUCCUUGUUCAAGCAACAAAAAACUUGAUAACUUUUUCCUUACAUCCACAUAAAGCAAAACAAUAUGGUAACAUUUCCCAUCCCCCUCUUUAAAGAUCUGUCUCAAUUUUUCUCUGUGUUAAAAAUCUUCUUUUGCUAGGUCAGAAGUGUCCUCUCAUGAAAUCUCAUUUUCCCUUUAUUUCACUCUGUGAGAAUCUC
This 6653-nucleotide long non-coding RNA is filed under the name Sus scrofa (pig). Its description in RNAcentral is "lncRNA (ENSSSCG00030066313.1)". The record is from RNAcentral. Lineage: Eukaryota; Metazoa; Chordata; Mammalia; Artiodactyla; Suidae.